This 21-nucleotide microRNA is filed under the name Medicago truncatula (barrel medic). RNAcentral's name for it is "mtr-miR5251". The record is from miRBase by way of RNAcentral. Lineage: Eukaryota; Viridiplantae; Streptophyta; Magnoliopsida; Fabales; Fabaceae.
AGUAGAUCUAGUUGGUGUCUU